GAGGUGCAGCUGGUAGAGUCUGGGGGAGGCCUGGUGCAGCCUGGGGGGUCUCUGAGACUCUCCUGUGCAGCCUCUGGAUUCACCUUCAGUAGCUAGCUACUGGAUGCAUUGGGUCCGCCAGGCUCCAGGGAAGGGGCUGGAGUGGGUCUCACGUAUUGGUAGUGAUGGGAGUACCAUAUACUACGCCAACUCUGUGAAGGGCCGCUUCACCAUCUCCAGAGACAACGCCAAGAACAUGCUGUAUCUGCAAAUGAGCAGCCUGAGAGCCGAGGACACGGCCGUGUAUUACUGUGCAAGAGAC
This is a long non-coding RNA of Myotis lucifugus (little brown bat), 301 nucleotides long. RefSeq lists it as uncharacterized. The record is from RefSeq and is a predicted model, not a curated record. The transcript is spliced from 3 exons. NCBI's taxonomy places the organism in Eukaryota, Metazoa, Chordata, Mammalia, Chiroptera, Vespertilionidae.